UGGGGAAUAUUGCACAAUGGAGGGAACUCUGAUGCAGCGACGCCGCGUGAACGAAGAAGGCUUUCGAGUCGUAAAGUUCUUUUAUAUGGGAAGAUAAUGACGGUACCAUAAGAAGAAGCCCCGGCUAACUACGUGCCAGCAGCCGCGGUAAUACGUAGGGGGCUAGCGUUGUCCGGAAUCACUGGGCGUAAAGGGUUCGCAGGCGGAAAUGCAAGUCAGGUGUAAAAGGCAGUAGCUUAACUACUGUAAGCAUUUGAAACUGCAUAUCUUGAGAAGAGUAGAGGUAAGUGGAAUUUUUAGUGUAGCGGUGAAAUGCGUAGAUAUUAAAAAGAAUACCGGUGGCGAAGGCGACUUACUGGGCUCAUUCUGACGCUGAGGAACGAAAGCGUGGGUAGCAAACAGGA
Molecule: ribosomal RNA, 404 nt
Filed under: bacterium
Lineage: Bacteria
Description: partial 16S ribosomal RNA
Rfam family: Bacterial small subunit ribosomal RNA
Source: RNAcentral